This 274-nucleotide ribosomal RNA is filed under the name uncultured bacterium. Its description in RNAcentral is "partial 16S ribosomal RNA". It matches the Rfam family "Bacterial small subunit ribosomal RNA", at positions 523 to 796 of the family's 1533-position model. The record is from RNAcentral.
AUACGAAAGGUGCAAGCGUUGUUCGGAUUUACUGGGCGUAAAGAGAUCGUAGGUGGUUUAUUAAGUCGGAUGUGAAAUCCCGGGGCUCAACCCCGGAACUGCAUUCGAUACUGGUAGACUAGAGUUUGGGAGGGGUAAGCGGAAUUCCGUGUGUAGCAGUGAAAUGCGUAGAUAUACGGAGGAACACCUGAGGCGAAGGCGGCUUACUGGACCAAUACUGACACUGAGGAUCGAAAGCGUGGGUAGCAAACGGGAUUAGAUACCCUAGUAGUCC